ACUCCAGUGACGCAGUGGUUAGCGUAUCGUUCUUAUACUAGUAGUUAAUGACACUAAUAUGAUCUGACUUGAGUCAUGCGAAAGUCGUGGGUUCGACACCCACCUGGAGUA
Blumeria graminis f. sp. tritici 96224 is the source of this 111-nucleotide transfer RNA. It matches the Rfam family "tRNA". From Rfam's summary of the family: Transfer RNA (tRNA) molecules are approximately 80 nucleotides in length. Their secondary structure includes four short double-helical elements and three loops (D, anti-codon, and T loops). Further hydrogen bonds mediate the characteristic L-shaped molecular structure. tRNAs have two regions of fundamental functional importance: the anti-codon, which is responsible for specific mRNA codon recognition, and the 3' end, to which the tRNAs corresponding amino acid is attached (by aminoacyl-tRNA synthetases). tRNAs cope with the degeneracy of the genetic code in two manners: having more than one tRNA (with a specific anti-codon) for a particular amino acid; and 'wobble' base-pairing, i.e. permitting non-standard base-pairing at the 3rd anti-codon position. The record is from Rfam. NCBI's taxonomy places the organism in Eukaryota, Fungi, Ascomycota, Leotiomycetes, Helotiales, Erysiphaceae.